RNAcentral lists this ribosomal RNA (497 nucleotides) under uncultured bacterium. Its description in RNAcentral is "partial 16S ribosomal RNA". It matches the Rfam family "Bacterial small subunit ribosomal RNA", at positions 28 to 507 of the family's 1533-position model. The record is from RNAcentral.
GAUGAACGCUGGCGGCGUGCCUAAUACAUGCAAGUCGAGCGAACAGACGAGGAGCUUGCUCCUCUGACGUUAGCGGCGGACGGGCGAGUAACACGUGGAUAACCUACCUAUAAGACUGGGAUAACUUCGGGAAACCGGAGCUAAUACCGGAUAAUAUAUUGAACCGCAUGGUUCAAUAGUGAAAGACGGUUUUGCUGUCACUUAUAGAUGGAUCCGCGCCGCAUUAGCUAGUUGGUAAGGUAACGGCUUACCAAGGCAACGAUGCGUAGCCGACCUGAGAGGGUGAUCGGCCAGACUGGAACUGAGACACGGACCACACGCCUCCGGGAGGCAGCAGUAGGGAAUCUUCCGCAAUGGGCGAAAGCCUGACGGAGCAAUGCCGCGUGAGUGAAGAAGGUCUUCGGAUCGUAAAACUCUGUUAAUAGGGAAGAACAAAUGUCUAAGUGACUAUGCACGUCUUGACGGUACCUAAUCAGAAAGCCACGGCUAACUACGUG